AUUGAACGCUGGCGGCAGGCCUAACACAUGCAAGUCGAGCGGAUGAAGGGAGCUUGCUCCUGGAUUCAGCGGCGGACGGGUGAGUAAUGCCUAGGAAUCUGCCUGGUAGUGGGGGAUAACGUCCGGAAACGGGCGCUAAUACCGCAUACGUCCUGAGGGAGAAAGUGGGGGAUCUUCGGACCUCACGCUAUCAGAUGAGCCUAGGUCGGAUUAGCUAGUUGGUGGGGUAACGGCCUACCAAGGCGACGACCCGUAACUGGUCUGAGAGGAUGAUCAGUCACACUGGAACUGAGACACGGUCCAGACUCCUACGGGAGGCAGCAGUGGGGAAUAUUGGACAAUGGGCGAAAGCCUGAUCCAGCCAUGCCGCGUGUGUGAAGAAGGUCUUCGGAUUGUAAAGCACUUUAAGUUGGGAGGAAGGGCAGUAAGUUAAUACCUUGCUGUUUUGACGUUACCAACAGAAUAAGCACCGGCUAACUUCGUG
This 484-nucleotide ribosomal RNA is filed under the name uncultured bacterium. RNAcentral describes it as "partial 16S ribosomal RNA". It matches the Rfam family "Bacterial small subunit ribosomal RNA", at positions 30 to 507 of the family's 1533-position model. The record is from RNAcentral.